UACGUAGGUGGCAAGCGUUGUCCGGAAUUAUUGGGCGUAAAGCGCGCGCAGGUGGUUCUUUAAGUCUGAUGUGAAAGCCCACGGCUCAACCGUGGAGGGUCAUUGGAAACUGGGGAACUUGAGUGCAGAAGAGGAAAGUGGAAUUCCACGUGUAGCGGUGAAAUGCGUAGAGAUGUGGAGGAACACCAGUGGCGAAGGCGGCUCUCUAGUACGGUACUGACGCUGAGACGCGAAAGCGUGGGGAGCGAACAGG
This 253-nucleotide ribosomal RNA is filed under the name uncultured bacterium. Its description in RNAcentral is "partial 16S ribosomal RNA". It matches the Rfam family "Bacterial small subunit ribosomal RNA", at positions 524 to 776 of the family's 1533-position model. The record is from RNAcentral.